GGCAAGUUGAAGACGCCUGGGACAAGAGGUGAAGCUUGUCUCGAUGAUGAUUGAAUAACCGAAGGCCCAAAGAUUUUCUCAAAAUAUCUGCCAGUUGAUUAGCACUUGAAAUAAAUUUUACUUGAAGGGUUUUUUGUUGAACUUGCUCUCGAAUAAAAUGAUAAUCAAGCUCCAUGUGCUUUGUUCUAGCAUGUAAAACCAGGUUAGAGCUUAAGUAGAUUGCUCCAAUGUUGUCACACCAUAAAGUGGCGGGUUGAGAAGGUAGAAAACCAAGUUCAAAAAGCAAUGAUUUUAUCCACAUAAUUUGUGCAGUGGCAUUGGCCAUGGAUCGGUACUCACUCUCAGUUGAGGAGCGAGCAACUGUUGGUUGCUUUUUGGAGGACCAUGAAAUCAAAUUGUGCCCAAGAUAAACAGCAUAGGCAGAUGUUGAGCAGCAGUCAUCUAGGCAACCAGCCCAAUCGCUGUCAAAGAAGCAUUGAAGCGUAAUCGGUGAGCUAUUUGAAAAGAACAAACCCAUAUGGGAGGCACCUUUCAAAUAACGCAGCAAGCGUUUUACAACAGCCCAAUGUUAAUGUGUUGGAGAAUGCAUGUACUGUGAUAAUUUGUUCAAAGAAAAAGCAAUAUCUGGUCAAGUC
Molecule: unclassified non-coding RNA, 635 nt
Filed under: Hevea brasiliensis (rubber tree)
Lineage: Eukaryota; Viridiplantae; Streptophyta; Magnoliopsida; Malpighiales; Euphorbiaceae
Source: RNAcentral